Molecule: long non-coding RNA, 266 nt
Filed under: Phoenix dactylifera (date palm)
Lineage: Eukaryota; Viridiplantae; Streptophyta; Magnoliopsida; Arecales; Arecaceae
Description: long non-coding RNA (PDAC_LNC012319)
Source: RNAcentral
UUCAAUCUCGAACUGGAGUCGAAUAAAUUUUACAUAUGAUAGAUGAUGGGGUUUGACGAGUUAUCCAUGACCUCCAUCCUAUCGGGAUCCACGAUAGAGGGACUAUAUCAUACGCUAACUGUACCUAGAGGUUCAUCUAUUCCAUUCUGCUGGGUUGCCACUACAUGCUGCUAGGUGUCACUGGUGGAUUGUGAGACUCAGAGGCAUUCACUUGAUGAUCAGUGAAUCCGAAUGAGAAGAGUUGAAAUUGUUCCAACCCAUUGAAA